AUUGAACGCUGGCGGAAUGCUUUACACAUGCAAGUCGAGCGGCAGCGCGGGGCAACCUGGCGGCGAGCGGCGAACGAGUGAGUAAUGCAUCGGAACGUACCCAGUCGUGGGGGAUAACUGUCCGAAAGGACAGCUAAUACCGCAUACGUCCUGAGGGAGAAAGCGGGGGAUCGCAAGACCUCGCGCGAUUGGAGCGGCCGAUGCCGGAUUAGCUAGUUGGUAGGGUAAAGGCCUACCAAGGCGACGAUCCGUAGCUGGUCUGAGAGGACGACCAGCCACACUGGAACUGAGACACGGUCCAGACUCCUACGGGAGGCAGCAGUGGGGAAUUUUGGACAAUGGGGGCAACCCUGAUCCAGCCAUUCCGCGUGAGUGAAGAAGGCCUCGGUG
RNAcentral lists this ribosomal RNA (390 nucleotides) under uncultured bacterium. Its description in RNAcentral is "bacterial SSU rRNA". It matches the Rfam family "Bacterial small subunit ribosomal RNA", at positions 29 to 422 of the family's 1533-position model. The record is from RNAcentral.